GACGAACGCUGGCGGCGUGCUUAACACAUGCAAGUCGAACGGAAAGGCCCUGCUUUUGUGGGGUGCUCGAGUGGCGAACGGGUGAGUAACACGUGAGUAACCUGCCCUUGACUUUGGGAUAACUUCAGGAAACUGGGGCUCAUACCGGAUAGGAGCUCUUGCUGCAUGGUGGGGGUUGGUAAGUUUCGGCGGUUGGGGAUGGACUUGCGGCUUAUCCGCUUGUUGGUGGGGUAGUGGCUUACCAAGGCUUUGACGGGUAGCCGGCCUGAGAGGGUGACCGGCCACAUGGGUACUAAGAUACGGCCCAGACUCCUACGGGAGGCAGCAGUGGGGAAUAUUGCACAAUGGGCGGAAGCCUGAUGCAGCAACGCCGCGUGCGGGAUGACGGCCUUCGGGUUGUAAACCGCUUUCGCCUGUGACGAAGCGUGAGUGACGGUAAUGGGUAAAGAAGCACCGGCUAACUACGUG
RNAcentral lists this ribosomal RNA (468 nucleotides) under uncultured bacterium. RNAcentral's name for it is "partial 16S ribosomal RNA". It matches the Rfam family "Bacterial small subunit ribosomal RNA", at positions 28 to 507 of the family's 1533-position model. The record is from RNAcentral.